GUAAUGUUUCUUGCUCAAAUGAGUAUUCCAACCACAGCAGCAGCACGAGGACUUUUUAAGCACUAAGGCCAGUGCAAGUAGCAGGGCGAGAGAGAUCCGCGACAUCGAUUUCAUCAAUCAUCAUCUACACCAACGGAUCUGAUAAAAAGUAUCGAAUCUUCUCUCGAGAAGUUCCUGAAGCUGCUGUUCUGAGAUGCUCAUUUGAGCAAGCAAUAUUAU
This 219-nucleotide microRNA precursor is filed under the name Punica granatum (pomegranate). RNAcentral's name for it is "MIR828 microRNA precursor family". It matches the Rfam family "MIR828 microRNA precursor family". Lineage: Eukaryota; Viridiplantae; Streptophyta; Magnoliopsida; Myrtales; Lythraceae. The record is from Rfam by way of RNAcentral.